GGUUAAGCGACUAAGCGUACACGGUGGAUGCCCUGGCAGUCAGAGGCGAUGAAGGACGUGCUAAUCUGCGAUAAGCGUCGGUAAGGUGAUAUGAACCGUUAUAACCGGCGAUUUCCGAAUGGGGAAACCCAGUGUGAUUCGUCACACUAUCAUUAACUGAAUCCAUAGGUUAAUGAGGCGAACCGGGGGAACUGAAACAUCUAAGUACCCCGAGGAAAAGAAAUCAACCGAGAUUCCCCCAGUAGCGGCGAGCGAACGGGGAGCAGCCCAGAGCCUGAAUCAGUGUGUGUGUUAGUGGAAGCGUCUGGAAAGGCGCGCGAUACAGGGUGACAGCCCCGUACACAAAAAUGCACAUACUGUGAGCUCGAUGAGUAGGGCGGGACACGUGGUAUCCUGUCUGAAUAUGGGGGGACCAUCCUCCAAGGCUAAAUACUCCUGACUGACCGAUAGUGAACCAGUACCGUGAGGGAAAGGCGAAAAGAACCCCGGCGAGGGGAGUGAAAAAGAACCUGAAACCGUGUACGUACAAGCAGUGGGAGCACAGAGCAAUCUGUGUGACUGCGUACCUUUUGUAUAAUGGGUCAGCGACUUAUAUUCUGUAGCAAGGUUAACCGAAUAGGGGAGCCGAAGGGAAACCGAGUCUUAACUGGGCGUUAAGUUGCAGGGUAUAGACCCGAAACCCGGUGAUCUAGCCAUGGGCAGGUUGAAGGUUGGGUAACACUAACUGGAGGACCGAACCGACUAAUGUUGAAAAAUUAGCGGAUGACUUGUGGCUGGGGGUGAAAGGCCAAUCAAACCGGGAGAUAGCUGGUUCUCCCCGAAAGCUAUUUAGGUAGCGCCUCGUGAAUUCAUCUCCGGGGGUAGAGCACUGUUUCGGCAAGGGGGUCAUCCCGACUUACCAACCCGAUGCAAACUGCGAAUACCGGAGAAUGUUAUCACGGGAGACACACGGCGGGUGCUAACGUCCGUCGUGAAGAGGGAAACAACCCAGACCGCCAGCUAAGGUCCCAAAGUCAUGGUUAAGUGGGAAACGAUGUGGGAAGGCCCAGACAGCCAGGAUGUUGGCUUAGAAGCAGCCAUCAUUUAAAGAAAGCGUAAUAGCUCACUGGUCGAGUCGGCCUGCGCGGAAGAUGUAACGGGGCUAAACCAUGCACCGAAGCUGCGGCAGCGACGCUGAUGCGUUGUUGGGUAGGGGAGCGUUCUGUAAGCCUGCGAAGGUGUGCUGUGAGGCAUGCUGGAGGUAUCAGAAGUGCGAAUGCUGACAUAAGUAACGAUAAAGCGGGUGAAAAGCCCGCUCGCCGGAAGACCAAGGGUUCCUGUCCAACGUUAAUCGGGGCAGGGUGAGUCGACCCCUAAGGCGAGGCCGAAAGGCGUAGUCGAUGGGAAACAGGUUAAUAUUCCUGUACUUGGUGUUACUGCGAAGGGGGGACGGAGAAGGCUAUGUUGGCCGGGCGACGGUUGUCCCGGUUUAAGCGGGUAGGCUGGUUUUCCAGGCAAAUCCGGAAAAUCAAGGCUGAGGCGUGAUGACGAGGCACUACGGUGCUGAAGCAACAAAUGCCCUGCUUCCAGGAAAAGCCUCUAAGCAUCAGGUAACAUCAAAUCGUACCCCAAACCGACACAGGUGGUCAGGUAGAGAAUACCAAGGCGCUUGAGAGAACUCGGGUGAAGGAACUAGGCAAAAUGGUGCCGUAACUUCGGGAGAAGGCACGCUGAUAUGUAGGUGAAGCGACUUGCUCGUGGAGCUGAAAUCAGUCGAAGAUACCAGCUGGCUGCAACUGUUUAUUAAAAACACAGCACUGUGCAAACACGAAAGUGGACGUAUACGGUGUGACGCCUGCCCGGUGCCGGAAGGUUAAUUGAUGGGGUCAGCGCAAGCGAAGCUCUUGAUCGAAGCCCCGGUAAACGGCGGCCGUAACUAUAACGGUCCUAAGGUAGCGAAAUUCCUUGUCGGGUAAGUUCCGACCUGCACGAAUGGCGUAAUGAUGGCCAGGCUGUCUCCACCCGAGACUCAGUGAAAUUGAACUCGCUGUGAAGAUGCAGUGUACCCGCGGCAAGACGGAAAGACCCCGUGAACCUUUACUAUAGCUUGACACUGAACAUUGAGCCUUGAUGUGUAGGAUAGGUGGGAGGCUUUGAAGUGUGGACGCCAGUCUGCAUGGAGCCGACCUUGAAAUACCACCCUUUAAUGUUUGAUGUUCUAACGUUGACCCGUAAUCCGGGUUGCGGACAGUGUCUGGUGGGUAGUUUGACUGGGGCGGUCUCCUCCUAAAGAGUAACGGAGGAGCACGAAGGUUGGCUAAUCCUGGUCGGACAUCAGGAGGUUAGUGCAAUGGCAUAAGCCAGCUUGACUGCGAGCGUGACGGCGCGAGCAGGUGCGAAAGCAGGUCAUAGUGAUCCGGUGGUUCUGAAUGGAAGGGCCAUCGCUCAACGGAUAAAAGGUACUCCGGGGAUAACAGGCUGAUACCGCCCAAGAGUUCAUAUCGACGGCGGUGUUUGGCACCUCGAUGUCGGCUCAUCACAUCCUGGGGCUGAAGUAGGUCCCAAGGGUAUGGCUGUUCGCCAUUUAAAGUGGUACGCGAGCUGGGUUUAGAACGUCGUGAGACAGUUCGGUCCCUAUCUGCCGUGGGCGCUGGAGAACUGAGGGGGGCUGCUCCUAGUACGAGAGGACCGGAGUGGACGCAUCACUGGUGUUCGGGUUGUCAUGCCAAUGGCACUGCCCGGUAGCUAAAUGCGGAAGAGAUAAGUGCUGAAAGCAUCUAAGCACGAAACUUGCCCCGAGAUGAGUUCUCCCUGACUCCUUGAGAGUCCUGAAGGAACGUUGAAGACGACGACGUUGAUAGGCCGGAUGUGUAAGCGCAGCGAUGCGUUGAGCUAACCGGUACUAAUGAACCGUGAGGCUUAACCUU
Molecule: ribosomal RNA, 2906 nt
Filed under: Escherichia coli
Lineage: Bacteria; Pseudomonadati; Pseudomonadota; Gammaproteobacteria; Enterobacterales; Enterobacteriaceae
Description: 23S ribosomal RNA
Rfam family: Bacterial large subunit ribosomal RNA
Source: RNAcentral